GUUUUAAUAUGAUAGGGACAGACUUUUUCAGUAUCUAAGUUUCUAUUAUGUUUCAGAUAAAAAGUAUUUGUCUAAAGGACAACUAUAUUUACUUCCGAGUAAAAUAUUGAUUACCGUUUUUAUCUAGUUGGCUGUUUUGAAACAUAUUAAAAUAAUUUUAUUGUAACUGUAUUGAACUGUUAUAGAAGAUUCUGAGGAAAUUGGUGAUGUUUCAGGUUUAGUUUCUUUACCUCUAUUCCAAGGGAAAAUGGAGGUUAGUCAUUCUGGAAGUGGGUCUUUAAGGAAAAAGGUGGGGGGAAGUAGUUUUAGGUUUUAGCACUACUCUGUAUAAAUACUUGAACUCAAACAGCACUGUUCUAGGGAGAAAUAAAUAGCAAAACAAUUUUAAAAUCACAACUACAGCCACUCAAAAACGGGGAAUGUAGAACCAACAAUAUGAAGAGCAUAAUUUGACCGUAGAAGAGAAUGACUCUUUUAAGAUAGUGGAUAGCAAGACAUUCUGUGAGCCAGACUGAACCAAGUCAAUAAUAGUUUAUUGAGGUAAUAAUAUGCAGUUUUAAACUUCACCUUCUGACUCAUCUGGGUAGAUCUAGUUAACAAUAAAAGAUCUAACAAAAGAAUAAGAGAAUGUUUAAAAUUUGUUUCUUAAACCUAAGGUACUCAGGUAAAAUGGGGAGUAGUGGAGAGAAUCAUAUAUCCUUAAACUUGAACAUGUAUUUAUUUAUACUUUCUAUAUGAUAAUAUUGAAUUUUUUUGUCCUGCUAAUCUGUAUACAUGACUUAUGAUGGACUUAUUUUUACUAAAUAAUGUAUAAAUAAAAUCAAUAAAAGAAUUUUCACGUUCUUUAAAAUUUUAAUUAAUUAAUUAAUAUGUUCCCACAUUGAACUUUGUGAACAACAUAUUUUGUAAGGGAUUACACACCCACUCAAAUUAGGGAGUUUCUAAAUCAGUGGUUAUCAAUUUCUUUUAGAUCAUGUGGUAGAGACUUGAAGAGAGGUUUUCCAGGACAAGCCAAGAUGCAAGAAACAAGCUGGAGACCUGAUUUGUAAAAUCAAGGAUUUGCAGGACAGGCUUGCAUGCAGACCAAGAAAAGGUGAGAAGAGAAGAAAAGACACAAGAGGAAAGGAGAAGAGAGCAAAACAGAGGAGAGGAGGAGAUAGGAGAGGAAAGGAGAUGAAGAGAGGAAGGGAGAAGAAAGGAGAAGACAGGAGGGGAAAGGUCUUUUGUUUGCUAUAUGUCUGUUGUAUUCCAUUGAUUUAUCUUUCUAUUUCUUAGGCAGUACUAAAUGAUUUUGAUUACUAUUUUAUAAAACAAAUUGAAAUCUGGUAUUGCUAGACCUCCUUCCUUUAUAUUUUUUCAUUAAUUAUUUUUAUAUUCUUAAUCUUUUAUUCUUUUAAUUAUGUUUUGUUAUUAUUUUUUCUAGUUCAAUAAAAUAAUUUUUCACCUCCA
This 1449-nucleotide long non-coding RNA is filed under the name Monodelphis domestica (gray short-tailed opossum). RNAcentral describes it as "lncRNA (ENSMODG00000044752.1)". Lineage: Eukaryota; Metazoa; Chordata; Mammalia; Didelphimorphia; Didelphidae. The record is from RNAcentral.